GCGCACUUUGGCAGCACAUAUACUAAAAUUGGAAUGAUACAAAGAAGAUUAGCAUGGCCCCUGCGCAAGGAUGACACACAAACAAAACAAAACAAAUAAAGGCCU
Manis javanica (Malayan pangolin) is the source of this 105-nucleotide small nuclear RNA. Lineage: Eukaryota; Metazoa; Chordata; Mammalia; Pholidota; Manidae. The record is from RefSeq and is a predicted model, not a curated record.